GCAAGAUAUUGUUGUUCUAAUGAUACAGCUUCAGUUAAACAGCCAACAUAAUGAAGCAGAUAAAGUGCUAGUUAUUUUUCAGACUAGGAGUAAGGAAAUUUAAGGUAGGAUAUGGAUAUGGAUAUAUUAAAAACAAACAGAACAGAGUAGGAAGGAGACUGAAGAAUGAUUCUUAAGAAACAUAAUGGAUUUGGAGUCAGGAGAAAUAAAAUCCUACAGAUAAUAUCCAAGAUAUUGAAUAUUGAAGGUUAAUAUCAAGCACUUUGUUAUCACUCUAAAAUGGAUUGGAAGUUGAUAUAAGCCAGUGUCCUGGUAUAAUGAGAUGGUGUCUUAUGAACAAUUUCACAAUUUGUUUUCUGAAAGUUCCAUGGAUAACAUGUUUACAUUUUAUACCAAUGUUGGGACGGCAAAUUUUUGAUUCUCCAGAUGUUGCUGAAUUAUAGCAUUCUUUAUCAUUUUCUUUAUUAUAGCAUUCUUUAUCAUUAUCCAUAUCAAUUUAUGGAAUAGCAUUUCAGUGGUUCAAUCCAAGCAAAGUUACUUGGCAUGGAUGAUGCAAUUUUUGUUGACUUUGUUAUCCUUUUUUACUUUUAGCAUUCUAAAAGUUAAUGUUCAUGGCCAACUUGGCUCUUUCACUAUUCAGUUGUAACUCCAGAUUACAUAUGAACAAGUUGUAAAGCAUUCUUCCCAAAUCCCAAUACAGAUCCUUGAGGAUCUCAUUUGUUACAUGAUUCCAAUAUAAGAUUUUUCAAUUUAGUCCAUCUUGUUCUUUAACCAGCUACUAGUCCUUCUGGUUCUUAUUCAUACUAUUGCUGGCUAUUAGUCCUUCAAGACAGGUUAGGCCAGGAAAAGGAUUCCACAACAAAUCUUCUUUGAUAAUAUUUCUCUAAUAAAUCAAUUCUUUUUGAUACAAGCUGUAGUAUGCAUUACACAGUACUAAAGAGUUGAAAUAUUGACAAUGUUUUCCUUUUCUUCUCUCUUACAUCAAAGAUAAUCAAGGUGGAGUCAGUUUAAUUUUCUUUCUAAUGCCUUCUUCCCUUCCUGGGGUUAAUUCACAUUUUGCUAACUGUCUCCACACUGUUUCUCCAAGUUCAUCUCUGUGGUUGGUCUACAUUGGCUCAGAAACCUCUGAAGAGGGAUUUUGUCAAAAAGUUCUGAAAAUCCGAAAUAAAUCCUACAAGACAGUAAGAGAUGCAAACAGCAAGCAUACAAGGGGGCAUUGAUAUUAUUAUUUAACAUUUGCAUUGUUAAAAACACUACAAUUUUAAAAUAUAUAAAACAUUAAAAAUAGCCAGGGACAAAUUUAAUUUGUUUAAUCCCAGGAGAGUUUAAAGGGUGCUAAAGAAAGAUCAGGACAUUGUGAAGGACCUGAUUGAAUUUUUGAAUCUCUCUUUGCCACAAAGAUAUAGUCCAGGUAUUUAGGUAUGAACUGAAAUUUUGAGAAAAAGAGGUUUGAAGGAUUGAGACAAAUAGUAACAACAAGCUACAAUUGCAUGUUGCUCCACUUUUUGAACUGAUUUCCGUGCUGAAUUUAUUAUUGCUGCAGAAGUUUUAAUUAUCCCAUGAAUGCUUUAACUAUAUUGUUUUGUGUGUGCAGGACAAAGUUUGCAGAGUGUGAUAAGAAAGAAAUGAGACAUAAAUAAAUGUUAAUUUCUAGAACAUAUAAAUGAAUUACAAAUAAAAAUAUAACCCA
Long non-coding RNA from Crotalus tigris (Tiger rattlesnake), 1690 nucleotides. RefSeq lists it as uncharacterized. Lineage: Eukaryota; Metazoa; Chordata; Lepidosauria; Squamata; Viperidae. The record is from RefSeq and is a predicted model, not a curated record. The transcript has 3 exons.